This is a long non-coding RNA of Micropterus salmoides (largemouth bass), 489 nucleotides long. RefSeq lists it as uncharacterized. NCBI's taxonomy places the organism in Eukaryota, Metazoa, Chordata, Actinopteri, Centrarchiformes, Centrarchidae. The transcript has 2 exons. The record is from RefSeq and is a predicted model, not a curated record.
GGGGGCUGGAGCCAAUCCCAGCAGACAUCGGUCGCCAGUCCAUCGCAGGAACUCGCUCAUUUUAAAGGGAAAAUGCACAUUUAUUUGAUGUUAUCAGAAUUCCUACUGUGAUCAAUAGUUCUCCUCCUUCAGCCUUUUUGCUAAAGUUAUUAACUAGUUUUCUGCAUUUGUCUUUCACUGAGAGGAGAGGAAACGAGAACGACACUACUCCAGACUGAGUCCAGAGUGAGUCCAGACCAAGACCAGACGACAUGAGACAAGGAGACCGCAUAAAUGAAAAGGAGGACGAGCGAGACGUCUCCUCAUCUGCAGCAGCAUCACAGACAGUUUAUUGUCUCGAACAUCUUCCUGUCUGUCAUCAAGAAGACCAAAAUCAACACUGAAUUUAUUCUUCUGACAUGUGGCUGUGUAGUCCCAUGAUGAACAUCAUUAAUGUUUGUGUUCAACCUGCUUUUUGUCCUUAAUAAAUAAAACAUAUUCACUGGACAA